This 9310-nucleotide long non-coding RNA is filed under the name Gossypium barbadense (sea-island cotton). RNAcentral's name for it is "long non-coding RNA (GBAR_LNC020834)". Lineage: Eukaryota; Viridiplantae; Streptophyta; Magnoliopsida; Malvales; Malvaceae. The record is from RNAcentral.
ACCAAAAGAGUAUUUACACCAAUCUUUUAUUUGAAUUAGUUGAAUUAUCCGAGUUAUUAAUGUAAUAGGCCAAUUUUGGCCUGGAUAAAAAAACAAAUAACAAGCUCAAAUUGUAACCCAAUUACAUUAGCCCAAUAAACCCAUAACAGAAUCAAAGAACCCUAGCCCCUUCGCCUCAGUACCGCAGCAGCAAAUAGCCUCCGCGCAGAUAUCACAACACGUCGCACGUUCUCCUUCCACGCCGCGCACGUCUGUCUUCCAUGCACCUGCAACAAACUACAAAUAGCAGCAAAUGAAAAGAAAAUGGGGGAAUUUUUAUUAUUGUUUUGGGGUUAUAAAGAGUUGAUUGUAAAACUGAUUGAAAAAACAAUAUUGUAUUAACAGAUUGAGAAACACAACAGGAUUAAAAAAACAAUUUUGAAGGUGACGAUUUUGGUUCUUCUUUUUUCCAGUUUUUUUUUCCUUCUUUCUUUCUCUUUUAUUUUUCCUUGUUUCUAAAAGCAAAUAAAAAAGGGAAAGAAAGGAGGGCUUACCGUUGCGAGAGUCGUUGGAGAGCGUCCUCGUUUCGUCGUUAUCUGGUCGGACAUGGGAGGGGACUGGAACGGCGGAGGAGAACUGCUGCGGCGCGAUUUUGAAUGGCAGAGGAGAGUUUUUUUUAGGGCUUGAAUUGGGUUUUAUUGGCUGCAAAUUAAAUGGGGUUUUAUUUAUGGGUUAUUUAUGUUUUUAAUCCUCUUUAUUUUUCCAUCAUUUCAAAAUCAUAGUUUUUAUUUUUAAAUUUUUCCAUGAAAAUUUUAAAUUAUUUUAUUUUAAUCCCAUUUAAACACAGUGUUUAAGAGGUUUAGGAGAAUUUUCCUUUUGGGUCCUCUUUCUGUUGCGUGCUUUUUAAUUUGGUCCCUUUUUGGUGUUUUCUAUUUUUAAAUUCAGCCUUUUGAUUCUGUUUAUUUUACAGUUUGAUCCCUAAUUGGUAGUUUUAGGUUUAUUUUAGUUUUUUUAAUAUUAUCAAUAUUGUUAUUGCGUUAUUAUUCUUAUAAUGUUAUCUAUUAUUAUUACAUAUAUUUAUGCGCAUAUGUAUCUUAUUAUAUACACUUAUCUUAUAUAUUAUUAUUAUUUUAUUUUCUUAGUUUAUAUAGAUACAUACGUACAUAUAUUAAUAUUUUAUAAUAUUUUUAUAGUUUUUAUAUGUUUUAUAAUCCAAAUUUAUAUACAUUUUUUAUAAUAUAUAUAUACAUACAUUAUUCAAAAUUAUCAUAAAUAUACAUUUUUUCCGCAUCUUUCUUAUAUAUAAACAUAUAUAUAUUCAUAAUUUAUUAAUGUAUUUUGUUUAUAUUUAUAUUUUUUUAUUUGUAUUUAUUGUAUUUAUUUCUAUAUAUUUUUUAGAUACCCAUACCUAUACAUAUUUUAUAUUUUAUUUUUAUAACUUUAUUAUAUAUGCUUUAAUAUAUGCAUAUACAUAUUUUUUAAAAUUUACUUAUAUACCAUAUUUUAUUUUGUAAAUACAUAUGCAUAUAUAAUUUAAAUUAAAAUAUUUGUUUCAUAUUGCAUUCACAUUUUUUAAAACAUAUCCUUUAAAAAUAUAUUUUGAUUUUGUCAUAGGAUUUUAAAAUAAAAACGAUAUUCAAAGUUAGGGAUUUUCGAGGAAAUUGAGCCCUAACGUAUUGGGUUCCGAUUUUCUUUAUUAAUUCCAAAUAACCGAGAAUAUUCGUUAUUCAAAAUGCAUAAGUAUAAAAAUCAUUUUCGGGAACUUAAUUUGUCGUGUCCUAACGUAUUGGGCAUGACAUAUUGCUUUCUCGAAAUGAAGAUUUUCUUUAAAAACUAAAAAGCGAUAUUCAAAGUUCGGGGGGUUUUGAGAAAUUGUACCCUAACGUAUUGGGUCUCGAUUUCGUUAUAUAACUUGAACAAUUGAUUAUUCUUUUCAGAUUUCAUCAUUUUGAGUUUUUUUUUAAAUCUUUUCAAAUUUUCGACACCAAGACAUUAAAUAAUCAAUUUGGUACCGAUUUUGGGCGUUACGAGGGUGCUAACCCUUCCUCGUUCGUAACUGACUCCCGAACCCGUUUUCAAAUUUCGUAGACCAAAAUCGUUUUAAGGUGAGCCGAUCACACCUAAAUCACGGAUCAGUGGCGACUCUAAUUUUAUUUUUAAAGUCGACAACUAAAUUUUUGUUUUCAAAAAAUGGUUUCGACAGCUUGGCGACUCUGCUGGGGACCUUAGAGAGUCGAGCCAUGAAUUGAUUAUUUUUUUUCUUUUUUGUCAAAAAUCAAAAGUUGUUUUAAAUCGUGAUUUCCCCUUUGCAUUCAUUGGUUUUUAUCAUGAUAUGCUUGCUUAAUUGGUCUAAGUCCGUUAGUUUAUUUGCAUUUUGCAUUUCAUGGUCAAUUUUACCCCUCUAAGUGGAAGUAAGAAGCUAGUCCUUCGUGAGGUUUUCACCUCUAUCCAGGAUAGUAGAUCGCUUUCGGGAUACAUCCGUACCUAUGUCUUCGUGAGAUUUUCAUCUCCGUGUAGCCAUAGGGAAAUGUAUCCCCCUGAACUGAACUCAGUCUAUAUGAGCCUAUAAUGGGUGAAGAUCGAGGAAUCUGCUGGUUUGGGUACCCUUGCUCUAGAAGCCAAACUUCAUAUAGUGAACCUUAGGAACUUACCCUAGGUAGAAUUACUCUAAACCUUAGUAGAUACCUGACUAGGAGUUUUUAUUAUUUCUUGAUUGUAUUGGAUUUAAUGUUUAUACCUGAUACUAACUUGUUGUGUUUUGUUUUGAAUGCAUGACAUUUUGACUAUAUGGCAUUUCAUUAUAAAAAAUGUGUUGAUUCACAUUCGGUUGCUAAAUAGAGAGCUUGUCCUAAGAAAAUGGGUUUCUUGAUAAAGUGGAUGACAAUAUGGUUGUCUGAAUAUGGUCCAAGAAAACGUGAUAAGAGAAUGAUGAUAGUUUAAUGGAGGACUACAUGGCUAUGGCUCCAUUGCCCAAGGAUUCAAGUUGACGAAUAUUAUUCAAGAGUCAUCAAACGUCCCAACUUUCUAAAAGAAGUUAAUGAGCAUGAGUGAACAAAGAGUUGCGACCCGGAUCAAGCAAAAAGGAGUUAGUAGUGGCAUCCAUUGGAAAUCUGUGAGAUUUAUUUUAAACAUGCGAAUGAAGAAAGAGAUCGAUGUUUUUUGGAGUAUAAAGGCGAGACCGUAUAUAUUUUUUCUUUAUGUAAAGAAAUUUGUAUUCUAGUAAAGUUUUCUAAAUGCAAUUGAAUCAGAAUCAAUGUCUCUUUUAUGCAUUCAUUUCAUGCAUUUGUAUUGCAUGACAUCAUAUGCAUUAAAAUCCAUUAAAAAACCCUAAUUGGUUAAAAUCAUUCAUCAGCUAAUCUGGAAACCAACCAGUCAACAAAACACCCUUACGGUACCCGAGCAAAGUCAAGAAGUAUGGACCAAAGAUUGGAAAAGCUGGAGCAGUUCCAAAAAGAAAUGCAGGAUCAACUUCAGUAACAGAUGCAAGAGCAGCUCGAGAAGAUUCAGCAGAAAAUGAUGGAUAAAAUGAUGGAAUCUCAAGGUAGUAUGAUGACAAAGUUAACGCAGUUGUUGACGGAAGGGAAUGAUAAAGGAAAGGGCCCCAUGGCCAAUGUUGAAGAGGAAGGUGAUGAUGGACCCCUAUACUCUCCAGGCUUCACUCCCCCACAUGUACAGCCCCAAGCAGAAGUGUACCCGUGCAAAUCUUCUGUUACGAUUAGGCCUCAACAAUUUCAGGCCGAUGCUUCAAAGUCGAUGAAUUACCAGGCUGGAUCAGACUCUAGCCCUGAGAAUAAUCCUGUCAAUCUUAUCAUCCCUGACUUCGAUGAGGCAGUCGAUAAAUAAAAAAUAAUAGAGGAAUUGCCAAAGCAAUUUGAAGAAAGGUAGAAGUGGGUUGAGGAGAAAUUCAGAGCGAUGGAAAGCACUGAGAGAUAUAGUGGGAUUGAUGCUAAGGAACUGAGUUUGGUCCCAGAUUUGGUGCUCCCUCACAAGUUCAAGAUGCCAGAAUUCGUGAAGUAUAAUGGGACCAGUUGCCCUGAAGCCCACAUUACCAUGUUUUGUAGGCGAAUGACUGGGUAUGUUAAAAACGAUCAAUUAUUAAUACAUUACUUCCAAGAUAGCCUCACAGGGGCAACAUCUAAAUGGUACAAUCAAUUGAGCCGUACUAAGAUUAGUUCCUAGAGGGAUUUGGCGCAGGCUUUUAUGAAGCAGUACAGUUAUGUAGCAGAAAUGGUUCAUGAUAGAAUCACCCUAUAAAACAUGGAAAAGAAGUCGAAUGAAGGUUUUAGGCAGUAUGCACAGAGGUGGAGGGAGGUUGCCGUCCAAGUUCAACCACCUCUAUUGGAAAGAGAAAUGGCAAUGCUUUUUAUAAAUACGUUGAAAGCCCCGUUCAUCACACAUAUGUUAGGAAGUGCCACAAAAAGCUUUUCUGACAUAGUCAUGAAUGGUGAAAUGAUUGAAAACGCCAUAAGGAGCAGAAAGAUUGAUGCUGGAGGAAAUAACAGAAGGCAAGCCUCAAAAGAAAAAGAAAAUGAGGUGAACAGCGUGAAUUCGUACAGUAAAUCGAUUACGGUGAAUCAACCAAGAAAGGUGGUUGCUAAUCAGUAGGGUUUAUCAAGACAAGACUUAGGUGUGAAACAAGGUACUGAGAAGCUCCAGUUCACACCCAUCCUAACGACAUAUGGGGAGUUGUAUCAGAAGCUGUUUAAUGCACAUGUGGUAUCUCCAUUCUACUCAGAACCUGUGCAACCUCCGUAUCCCAAAUAGUAUGAUGCAAACGCACAAUGUGACUACCAUACGGGAAUUAUGGGGAACUCAAUAGAGAAUUGCACUACCUUUAAAAGGCUAGUUAAAAGACUCAUCAACAUGGGUGUUGUCAAGUUUGAUGAUUCAUCCAAUACAAAAAAUUCCAUUACCCAAUCAUGUUGAUAAUGGGGUGAAUGCGAUGUAUGAGGAAAAGUUAGAAAAUGUAAUUAUCAAUGCCAUAGACACAACUGAAGGAGGGACCUUGUUUGAGAUCUGCCCUUAUGAACCUGGGAGCGAGCAAAAUAAUUAGACUGUGGAAGAGAUCUCUGUAGUAUUUAGAGCUUGCUCAGAGUAAUGUUUAGAACACUCUUAUUGCUUUUUAGCCUAGAAGUGAUAAGAAUACCUUUGUCAAAUAGGCUCAUGUCUGAACGUCAUUAUUCUAAUAAAAUACAUCUUUGCAUUCAUUUUUGAGCCAAUAUUCUUUCAUUCUUUUCAAAUAAUUAUUCUUUCAUUCUUUUGGAUUUUCUUCCAAAUCAUUCAUUUAUUCAUUUAUAAUCAAUUGUACAAAUAGUUAUUCAUAAAUUUGUAUAUUCUUUGAUAUUUAUUAUGGGUCCCUAGAUAUCAAUGACAUGAAUGACGCUACUACAGACUCAGAAUUUCCUUUUGAGCGAGGCAUGUGUUUAGAGGGAUUUCAUGACUUUGAAAAUGACAUAGAUUGUAGCUUAUCUCCUGAUUUGUUAAGGGUGGUAGAGUAAGAAGAGAAACAAAUUUACCUCAUGAGAAGACAAUGGAGACUGUGACCUUGAGGGAACAUACAUGACCGAAGAAAAAAGCAAGAUGUUGUUGAGUUACUUCAAGAAUUCGAAGAUGUCUUCGCAUGAUCAUAUCCGAACAUGCCAGGGUUAAGCACUGAUAUUGUAAUCUGAGCAACAGCACGACGACAAAAAUUUAUAGUAUGUUCAAAAUUAACAUCAUGAAUGAUGCAGUUAGAAUUCUUUGCCGGGGCAAUGCCUUCUUUUUUGGUUCAUCAUGGUUUUGUCCGUUGAAGUCAAGUUGUCAUUUUUUCGUAUUGUAGAGGAAGACCUAAAGUUUUUUAUCAUAGAUAAAAUUCGCCCUAAAAGGCUCUAUGAGAGAAAUCUGAUAUUAAAGAAGAUCUUUCGCAUACAAAAAAAAGUGGAAGAUCUUAUGGAGAAGACCUUAUCUAGAAUAACAUUGAUUCUGGUCGAAAGGGAUAACCAGGACUUUCCCAAAUCCUAUGAGUUCAGAUUCAAUCAAAGAAAAACUAAAAAACAAAAUCAAAAAAUCAAAAAUCAACAAAAUCAAAAUCAAAAUAAAAAAUCAAAAUUGGAAAAUAAGAAUGAUGAAAAAAAAAGAAAAAAGAAAAGAAAGAAGAAAAAGAGAGGCCAAGGCGGAAACCUGCAAAGGGCACCUUGAUAUUUGAGUUGAAAACUCGAAAAGGGCGGCUCAAAUUUUGGAUCAAAUUGGGGCAUGAGAUGAUCAGAGUUACUCAAAAGUUGAUCAAAAUGGGGCGUGCGGUGAUCUUGCUAUGCCUAAGAUGGCAGGAAAGGGUACGCGACAUCUUGGGGCAUCGAUAGAGUAUUGUAGAUCUCCUAAGCACAAGUCAAACUCAGAAUGGUCUUUAGGAAGUUUGUACAGAGAAGUUCAAGUUGUGGUGUCUAGGGCACCUAGUUUUUAUGAUAUUUUUAUUUGCUUAUUCUUGGAAUACUUCAUUCUUUUUUGAAGAUACAAGUCAAUUCCUCUUUUAUUCUUAAUAUUCUUGAUAAUUUAUUCAUUGCAAGCUAUACUUUCAAAUCAAAUCAAUUCUAUUUUAUCUAUCGCUUUGUUCUUUUUGCAAGCAUGUUGCAUUAGAAUAAUGAUUAAUAGACUAAUAAAACUUUUACAAAGGAAGUUUUGCAUAUUACUCUAGAAGUUUCUAAAUAAUAAGGGAACCUGAAACAGAACUAUUGUUUAGAGCACACCAAGUUUAAAGGUUGGAAAUCUGAAAAGGAAUAGUCUAAAUUAAGACUUUCUCUUUAGAUUUUAUUGUCAAAGACAUUGACUGAACAAAAUGACAGGAUGUCAUGUCGGUGAUAAGGCUUCAAUGAGUAGGCAGACAAUGAUAACCAAGCAAUAGGAAGAGGUUUCCUCGGAAAAGAAAGCCUUCAUUUGUGCAUGAGCAUUUGGUAUGACACCUUGGGAAUGGAGUAAAGAACCAAAUAGCUUCACAUUUUAUAUCCUUGAAUUGCGAUAGGAAAGGAUUGAGAAAAGACCAGAUUUUUCUACCAUUGGGUUAUAACGGGAGAAAGAUGGUGCAAAUUUUACGUCUCAAUGGAUGGAACUUUGAGGUUUACAGUGGGAGAAAUUUGAUCGAGUGUUUCUUUGGAGAUGCGAGCCGAGCAAAAAUGCAUUGUAGCACUUCAGUGAUAAGGCCUUAAUAAAUUUCGAGUAAUGAUGACCUAAGUGAUAAAGAGGGAUCAUUCUCAAAAAAAAUAAUAUUCUACAUUCAUUCAAAUGUCAUUAAUAUAUGUCUAGUUAGGAGCAUUUGGUUCAUUUUGAUCCUGACAUCCUAAUCGCUAAGCAUAAUUAGGUUCAUAAAUUGAAUUAUACAGGUCAUGUUCUCCAGAGAACAAACCGGUGAAACUUCAGCCUUAUCUCCCUGAGCAGCAGUGGAAUAGGUUAAAAAUAGCAGAUCUUGUCUUCCUGUAUUGGCAGCAAAGUAGAUCGAAGAUACGAGUCUUUUCUUCCUGGGUAGCAGUGGAAUAGGUUAAAAAUGACAGAUCUUGCCUUCCUGUACUGGCGGCGAAGCAGAUCGAAGAUACCCGUCUUAUCGUCUUAACGUUGCAAUGGAAAAGACUGAAGCCACAACGGCGGAUCUUAUUUUCCUGGUGUCUUAGCGGAGUAGAUUGAAGCUACGACGGCGGAUCUUAUCUUCCUGGUGUUAAGACUUGGAUUAGCUGAAGUGGAGCGGAUUAAAGCUGUGGGCAGCGAAUCCUAUCUCUUUUGCAUUGCAAUUAAAAAGAUUAAAGCCACAACGGCGGAUCUUAUUUUCCUGGCAUUGCAGCGGAGCAGAUUGAAGCCACGACGACGGAUCUUAUCUCCCUGGUGUUAAGGCUUAGAUUAGCUGAAGUGGAGUGGAUUGAAGCUGUGGGCAGCAAAUUCUAUCUCUUUAGCAUUAUAGUGGAAAAGAUUGAAGCCACAACGGCGGAUCUUACUUCCCUGGCGGUGUAGUGGAAUAGAUUGAAGCUACGACAGCGGAUCUGGUUUCCCUGACAUUGAAAAUUAAAAAGAUUUAAGCCACAAUGGCGGAUCUUACUUCCCUGGCGAUGUAGUGGAACAGAUUGAAGCUUCGACGGCAGAUCUGGUUUCCCCGACAUUGCAAUUAAAAGGAUUGAAGCCACAAUGGUAGAUCUUACUUCCCUAGCGGUGCAGUGGAACAGAUUGAAGCUACGACGACGAAUCUUGUUUCCCAGACAUUGCAAUUAAAAAGAUUGAAGCCACAACGGUGGAUCUUACUUCCUUGGCGGUGUAGUGGAAUAGAUUGAAGUCACGACGGCGAAUCUUGUUUCCUCGACAUUGCAGUUAAACAAUUUGAAAAAUUCUAUCUCCUUGAAGUUGCAGUGGAGCGGAUUAAAAUGAUGAAUCCUAUACCUCUGAAGUUGCAGUAGGUCGGAUUAAAUCCCCAUGACAGAUCUCAUCUUUUUGAAGUUGCAGAAGAGCCAAUCACAUCCAAUCUUAUCUCCCUGAAGUUGCAGUGGACCAGACUAGAGAUAGCAAAUUUUAUUCUUUUGAGAAGCUACAAGAUACAACUCCUAUUUCUUUGUUGUUGCAGUGAUGUGGAUUAAAACACCAGUUCUUAUACCUCUGAAGAUGCAGUAGGAUGGAAUGAAGCUACUUGAAGGAAAAGAGCCCCGAAGUCCAACAUGAGCAGGCAAAAUUAGCCAUUUUUAAAGUCUUUACUUUGUUCUUGUUACAUGAUAACGGGCAAAGAGGGGCAGCUGUAAUAGGCCAAUUUUGGCCUGGUUAAAAAAACAAAUAACAAGCCUAAAUUGUAACCCAAUUACAUUAGCCCAAUAAACCUAUAACAGAAUCAAAGAACCCUAGCCCCUUCGCCUCAGUACCGCAGCAGCAAACAGCCUCCGUGUAGAUAUCGCAGCACGUCGCACGUUCUUCUUCCACGCCGCGCACGUCUGUCUUCCAUGCACCUGCAACAAACUACAAAUAGUAGCAAAUGAAAAGAAAAUGGGGGAAUUUUUAUUAUUGUUUUGGGGUUAUAAAGAGUUGAUUGUAAAACCGAUUGAAAAAACAAUAUUGUAUUAACAGAUUGAGAAACGCAACAAGAUUAAAAAAAUAGUUUUGAAGGUGACGAUUUUGGUUCUUCUUUUUUCCAGUUUUUUUUCCUUCUUUCUUUCUCUUUUAUUUUUCCUUGUUUCUAAAAGCAAAUAAAAAAGGGAAAGAAAGGAGGGCGUACCGUUGCGAGAGUCGUCGGAGAGCGUUCUCGUUUUGUUGUUAUCUGGUCAGACAUGGGAGGGGACUGCAACGGAGGAGGAGAACUGUUGCGGCGCGAUUUUGAAUGGCAAAGGAGAGUUUU